RNAcentral lists this long non-coding RNA (370 nucleotides) under Elaeis guineensis (African oil palm). Its description in RNAcentral is "long non-coding RNA (EGUI_LNC040776)". The record is from RNAcentral. Lineage: Eukaryota; Viridiplantae; Streptophyta; Magnoliopsida; Arecales; Arecaceae.
AUGAAGUUCUAGAUAGAAAUGAUAUUUAGUGUCUUAUGCAUGAUGUAUAUAUAUAGCUGUUUGUUAUACUACUGUUAAAUAUCAACAACUUUGCAUUGAAUGAUUAUAUAUUUCUAGAUAGUAAAAAUAGGAUCUAGAUAAUUUUUUAGAACAAAAUUAUAUAUUCUCAAAAAUAUUAAUUUUUUAUUAUUAUAUUUUUAUUAUUUUUAUCAUCAUUUAAGUAGAGCAUGCUAGAAAAAAUAGAAGACAUUAAAGGUUAGAUCUAGGGUUAGAUCCAAGGGGAGGGAUAGGGAUUUAGAUCUAAGGUUUAAUAUUUUUUUUUAAGAGAGAGAGAAUGGAGGAAAGCGGUGGUGGAGGGGAGGAGGGACAA